Molecule: ribosomal RNA, 645 nt
Filed under: Paenibacillus lupini
Lineage: Bacteria; Bacillati; Bacillota; Bacilli; Caryophanales; Paenibacillaceae
Description: bacterial SSU rRNA
Rfam family: Bacterial small subunit ribosomal RNA
Source: RNAcentral
UGCAGUCGAGCGGAUCUUUUCCUUCGGGGAAAGAUUAGCGGCGGACGGGUGAGUAACACGUGGGUAACCUGCCCAUAAGACUGGGAUAACAUUCGGAAACGAAUGCUAAUACCGGAUACGCGAAUUGGUCGCAUGGCCGAAUCGGGAAAGGCGGAGCAAUCUGCCACUUAUGGAUGGACCCGCGGCGCAUUAGCUAGUUGGUGAGGUAACGGCUCACCAAGGCGACGAUGCGUAGCCGACCUGAGAGGGUGAUCGGCCACACUGGGACUGAGACACGGCCCAGACUCCUACGGGAGGCAGCAGUAGGGAAUCUUCCGCAAUGGACGAAAGUCUGACGGAGCAACGCCGCGUGAGUGAUGAAGGUUUUCGGAUCGUAAAGCUCUGUUGCCAGGGAAGAACGCUUACGAGAGUAACUGCUCGUAAGGUGACGGUACCUGAGAAGAAAGCCCCGGCUAACUACGUGCCAGCAGCCGCGGUAAUACGUAGGGGGCAAGCGUUGUCCGGAAUUAUUGGGCGUAAAGCGCGCGCAGGCGGCCUUGUAAGUCUGUCGUUUAAACUCGGAGCUCAACUUCGAGUCGCGAUGGAAACUGCAAAGCUUGAGUGCAGAAGAGGAAAGUGGAAUUCCACGUGUAGCGGUGAAAUGCG